GGGAAACCGAGUCUUAAUUGGGCGUUAAGUUGCAGGGUAUAGACCCGAAACCCGGUGAUCUAGCCAUGGGCAGGUUGAAGGUUGGGUAACACUAACUGGAGGACCGAACCGACUAAUGUUGAAAAAUUAGCGGAUGACCUGUGGCUGGGGGUGAAAGGCCAAUCAAACCGGGAGAUAGCUGGUUCUCCCCGAAAGCUAUUUAGGUAGCGCCUCGUGAAUUCAUCUCCGGGGGUAGAGCACUGUUUCGGCUAGGGGGCCAUCCCGGCUUACCAACCCGAUGCAAACUGCGAAUACCGGAGAAUGUUAUCACGGGAGACACACGGCGGGUGCUAACGUCCGUCGUGAAGAGGGAAACAACCCAGACCGCCAGCUAAGGUCCCAAAGUCAUGGUUAAGUGGGAAACGAUGUGGGAAGGCCCAGACAGCCAGGAUGUUGGCUUAGAAGCAGCCAUCAUUUAAAGAAAGCGUAAUAGCUCACUGGUCGAGUCGGCCUGCGCGGAAGAUGUAACGGGGCUAAACCAUGCACCGAAGCUGCGGCAGCGACGCUUAUGCGUUGUUGGGUAGGGGAGCGUUCUGUAAGCCUGUGAAGGUGUGUCGUGAGGCAUGCUGGAGGUAUCAGAAGUGCGAAUGCUGACAUAAGUAACGAUAAAGCGGGUGAAAAGCCCGCUCGCCGGAAGACCAAGGGUUCCUGUCCAACGUUAAUCGGGGCAGGGUGAGUCGACCCCUAAGGCGAGGCCGAAAGGCGUAGUCGAUGGGAAACGGGUUAAUAUUCCCGUACUUGGUGUUACUGCGAAGGGGGGACGGAGAAGGCUAUGUUGGCCGGGCGACGGUUGUCCCGGUUUAAGCGUGUAGGUGUGUGUUCCAGGUAAAUCCGGUUCACUUUAACACUGAGGCGUGAUGACGAGGCACUACGGUGCUGAAGUAACAAAUGCCCUGCUUCCAGGAAAAGCCUCUAAGCAUCAGGUAACAUCAAAUCGUACCCCAAACCGACACAGGUGGUCAGGUAGAGAAUACCAAGGCGCUUGAGAGAACUCGGGUGAAGGAACUAGGCAAAAUGGUGCCGUAACUUCGGGAGAAGGCACGCUGACACGUAGGUGAAGUGAUUUACUCAUGGAGCUGAAGUCAGUCGAAGAUACCAGCUGGCUGCAACUGUUUAUUAAAAACACAGCACUGUGCAAACACGAAAGUGGACGUAUACGGUGUGACGCCUGCCCGGUGCCGGAAGGUUAAUUGAUGGGGUCAGCGCAAGCGAAGCUCCUGAUCGAAGCCCCGGUAAACGGCGGCCGUAACUAUAACGGUCCUAAGGUAGCGAAAUUCCUUGUCGGGUAAGUUCCGACCUGCACGAAUGGCGUAAUGAUGGCCAGGCUGUCUCCACCCGAGACUCAGUGAAAUUGAACUCGCUGUGAAGAUGCAGUGUACCCGCGGCAAGACGGAAAGACCCCGUGAACCUUUACUAUAGCUUGACACUGAACAUUGAGCCUUGAUGUGUAGGAUAGGUGGGAGGCUUUGAAGUGUGGACGCCAGUCUGCAUGGAGCCGACCUUGAAAUACCACCCUUUAAUGUUUGAUGUUCUAACGUGGACCCGUUACCCGGGUUGCGGACAGUGUCUGGUGGGUAGUUUGACUGGGGCGGUCUCCUCCUAAAGAGUAACGGAGGAGCACGAAGGUUGGCUAAUCCUGGUCGGACAUCAGGAGGUUAGUGCAAUGGCAUAAGCCAGCUUGACUGCGAGCGUGACGGCGCGAGCAGGUGCGAAAGCAGGUCAUAGUGAUCCGGUGGUUCUGAAUGGAAGGGCCAUCGCUCAACGGAUAAAAGGUACUCCGGGGAUAACAGGCUGAUACCGCCCAAGAGUUCAUAUCGACGGCGGUGUUUGGCACCUCGAUGUCGGCUCAUCACAUCCUGGGGCUGAAGUAGGUCCCAAGGGUAUGGCUGUUCGCCAUUUAAAGUGGUACGCGAGCUGGGUUUAGAACGUCGUGAGACAGUUCGGUCCCUAUCUGCCGUGGGCGCUGGAGAACUGAGGGGGGCUGCUCCUAGUACGAGAGGACCGGAGUGGACGCAUCACUGGUGUUCGGGUUGUCAUGCCAAUGGCACUGCCCGGUAGCUAAAUGCGGAAGAGAUAAGUGCUGAAAGCAUCUAAGCACGAAACUUGCCCCGAGAUGAGUUCUCCCUGAGACUUAGAGUCUCCUGAAGGAACGUUGAAGACGACGACGUUGAUAGGCCGGGUGUGUAAGCGCAGCGAUGCGUUGAGCUAACCGGUACUAAUGAACCGUGAGGCUUAACCUUACAACGCCGAAG
This 2291-nucleotide ribosomal RNA is filed under the name Salmonella enterica subsp. enterica serovar Dublin. Its description in RNAcentral is "partial 23S ribosomal RNA". It matches the Rfam family "Bacterial large subunit ribosomal RNA", at positions 671 to 2925 of the family's 2925-position model. Lineage: Bacteria; Pseudomonadati; Pseudomonadota; Gammaproteobacteria; Enterobacterales; Enterobacteriaceae. The record is from RNAcentral.